UACGUAGGUGGCAAGCGUUGUCCGGAAUUAUUGGGCGUAAAGCGCGCGCAGGCGGUCCUUUAAGUCUGAUGUGAAAGCCCACGGCUCAACCGUGGAGGGUCAUUGGAAACUGGGGGACUUGAGUACAGAAGAGAAGAGUGGAAUUCCACGUGUAGCGGUGAAAUGCGUAGAGAUGGGGGAGAACACUCGUGGCGAAGGCGGCCAGCUAGACCAGUUCUGACACUGAGGCGCGACAGCGUGGGGAGCAAACAGG
This 253-nucleotide ribosomal RNA is filed under the name uncultured bacterium. RNAcentral describes it as "partial 16S ribosomal RNA". It matches the Rfam family "Bacterial small subunit ribosomal RNA", at positions 524 to 776 of the family's 1533-position model. The record is from RNAcentral.